RNAcentral lists this transfer RNA (72 nucleotides) under Streptococcus agalactiae. Its description in RNAcentral is "tRNA-Glu". It matches the Rfam family "tRNA". Rfam says of the family: Transfer RNA (tRNA) molecules are approximately 80 nucleotides in length. Their secondary structure includes four short double-helical elements and three loops (D, anti-codon, and T loops). Further hydrogen bonds mediate the characteristic L-shaped molecular structure. tRNAs have two regions of fundamental functional importance: the anti-codon, which is responsible for specific mRNA codon recognition, and the 3' end, to which the tRNAs corresponding amino acid is attached (by aminoacyl-tRNA synthetases). tRNAs cope with the degeneracy of the genetic code in two manners: having more than one tRNA (with a specific anti-codon) for a particular amino acid; and 'wobble' base-pairing, i.e. permitting non-standard base-pairing at the 3rd anti-codon position. RNAcentral also lists the same sequence under 1 other name. Lineage: Bacteria; Bacillati; Bacillota; Bacilli; Lactobacillales; Streptococcaceae. The record is from RNAcentral.
GGUCCGUUGGUCAAGGGGUUAAGACACCGCGUUUUCACGGCGGUAACACGGGUUCGAAUCCCGUACGGACUA